CUGUACAAAUGUGCACAGCGAUUGUGUGUACUACUGCACCACUAUAAUACACACCGAUACUGUUCCGACGCGGACAACCGCCCGGCAGCUGUUUCAUAAUAUUCUGAAUUUAUGUUUUUUUUAUUUUUAAAAAUAAUCUUUAUAACACUAUAAAUACUUAGUUAUAUUAUUAUGAUUUAUGUUUUCAAUUUUUCUUGAGUUAAGAUAGGUAGUGCACCUAUACAAGACCCGCCACUGAAUUUGUUAAUCACCAAUAAUUAUGAAACUAUUAGUAGAUAAAUUUGUUUUUACAGUCCCAACCACUACUAAAUACUAAGUACUAGUUAUUUAGUACAAAUAGCCAAAUUAGAAUAUAUUUUUAACAUGAUACCUUAUGAAUAAAUAUUAAAAAUACAUUGUUCAUUUUUUGUAUAUAUUUAUAUAUUUAAGUGCGUAUGCAUAAUACUAAUAGCAUAAUUAUACCAAUGCAUAAAAUAUAUAUUCGCUAAUCAGUAAUCACUAAUGCUACAUUAUACUUAAAAGUAAUAACUAAUAAGUAUGCUCGUUUAAGACAAAAACAGAUAAGAUUAUACACACAUUGGGUUACAAGUUAUUAAAAUAAUAUACAAAAUUAUGAACAAUUUUGGUUAAUUUUCAAAUGUUUUAUCAGAUAAUAAUUAAAAAUUAUGUUGAAAAUAUUAAAAUUUUCCAUUCUCAGUAAGAUUUUAUUAAGUCAUAAAGUUUAAACUUGCAAAAUAAUACAUAAAAUAUUAUACUUUUAAUUUUAAAUUAAUGUGUAUUUUUACUGUUUAAGAACAGUAUAAUAUUACAAACUAAAAAAAAAACUUAACACGUUGACUGCCAUGUGGCAGGCGACACCCGCAUAGUACUAAGAUACAACAGUAUUUUUAUGGACACACCCUCUUAUUAUAUAUAUGCCAUAUGACUGCCAGCGACUGUAAACGAGUUUUAUAUUAUUAACUUUUCCAUGGUGCUACAAUAACGCACUAAAAAAAGAGCACGUCGAGGGAAUCUUUACAAUAUUUUUGAUGCAAUAAACAUAUUUUUUUAAACUUUUUCAAGUACAAUGGUAUAUACAAAUUUGUAACAACACUGAAAAAUAUACUUUACAUACCAAUGACACAUAUCGUGUGACUGCCAAUGGCAGUCAACAUGUUAAGAAUAUAAAUCGCAUUGUAUACUACUUCUAUAUUUUGCCAAAUAAACAAAGUACAAAAGCUUACCUGGUCGAGUGUCAAAAUAAGCAGAAGGUGGUUCAGGAUGAUCAAUUAGUCUUUUGCUAAACAAAAAAAAUGGGCUUGUAUCAGUACCGGCACAA
This is a long non-coding RNA of Acyrthosiphon pisum (pea aphid), 1318 nucleotides long. RefSeq lists it as uncharacterized. The transcript has 2 exons. The record is from RefSeq and is a predicted model, not a curated record. Lineage: Eukaryota; Metazoa; Arthropoda; Insecta; Hemiptera; Aphididae.